Pocillopora verrucosa is the source of this 2238-nucleotide non-coding RNA. The record is from RefSeq and is a predicted model, not a curated record. NCBI's taxonomy places the organism in Eukaryota, Metazoa, Cnidaria, Anthozoa, Scleractinia, Pocilloporidae.
AAGAAAUCUUAUGCGGCUACAACAAUCCGUUUCAAUGUCAAAAAAGGUUCCCUUAGAUCAUAAAAGGGGAGCUAAAAAUAGGUUUCUUAUCAAUCAGUUAAGAAUGUGCAGCCAAAGCAAAUAUUGUGCCGCGCAUGCGUAAAAAAAGUAAAGCGGCGAAAUACGACAAAACGGAGGAGAAAUAUCGAGAAAUCAGGGUUAUACGCUGAGAAAAGCAUCACAGUUAAACAACAAAUCAUCGCCUAUUUCCUCGAGAACCGUGGGCAAUCAAAAUGAGUCACGGAUAUCAACCCCGAGAGCCAAACGCGCCUAGAUACUGCGAAGUAGUCCAAAUAGGCAUCGAAGAGGAUACUGCUGAAGUAACACUUUUUCUACACUACAGAAAGAGAGUUUCAAGUAAACAACGGAUACGUAUCGGAGGAUAAAGAGGAAAGCAAUUAUGGCCGGCGAUACCGCAAAUUGAAACUCGUUACUUCAAAAGCUAACGUGAUAGAAGUCAGGCGAUAUAGAAACGGAGAGUAUGACGUGAACGCCGACGGGAGAGAUGUUUACAUCAAAAGAAAAAAAGUUGAAGUGUAAAGACUGUUCAAGAGCACUGCCAGAGCCACUCUGUAAAACACUAGGAAACUGUUGAUUGUAAACGAACCAAGAGUCUAAUAAAGUUUGUAGCAUGGCAUAAAACAUAUAUGACUUAAUGAAAUUUUGCUGCAUGAACAUUCAAUGCGUGAAAGAAGAGUGUGCACGCCAGAGCAGAGUCUAUGAACUCUACCCUCGCCCUAUUUUCGAUGGACAUGAAUAUUGUCACUUCAAUCGAAUUUAGUCACUCAUUAGAGGCCAUGAGAGCACACGACGAGUAAAAAAUACUACUGAGUAAGGAUUUGACCACCGCCGUAAGCAACAAAGUUGAUAAAUUUACUUCUUAGAUGAAAUGAAGCUUUUGUCUGUAAUAACAAAUGAGAUAAGUACUAGCGUGUUAAAAACAUGUUUCAGCAACUACGGCAUUCUUACCGAAAUUAGUCCGUAGAAAUCUGAUGUAAAACAUUUCGUAACCAAAUUAACGUUGGUGUUUAGUCAGGGUACGCUUUCGUCACUAUGGGAAAAACUUGAAGUCAAAGUCGAACUCGUGUCUCUGAAACCUAAGAGUCUCAAAUAUCAACUCGCUCAGAUUGAAUCCUACAAAUGCUCAACAUCUUACCCAAAUAAAAAAUGACAUGCAAUACUUAUUCAUUUCAACUCCACAACUGAUUCAUAACGCGUCACAUUUCAAGGCAGGCAAAAGCUUCUGCGACAACAGAUGAGAGCUGGAAGGAUGAAUACCCCAACCAGGAGGUAAAAUCGAAAAACACGAUGGUUAAACGAGAAAUUAACUACCCGCGUCAAUUUAGAUGAACACAAAACCAAAAGGUGCAAAUGCGCAGACAUGAAAGCGAGGUUAAAAUGCUGUCUAAUUGAAAGAGAGAGGUGGAAAUGGCGUAUCUUGUAAAAAUAAAGAGUGACUCGCCUGCGACUCUGCUCAAAAUCGGUGUAAGAAUUCGACUAUGAUCGAGAGAUAAUUAAAACAAGUGUUGUAAAUAGGCACACACUGAUUGAUAAGACAGCCAUAUCCUAUGAAACGAUGAUGAGAAAAAUACCAAAAAAAAAACGCACCAACGGGUAGACACUAACCUUGAGGUUUGCGCGCGUAAAAUGGAGAUUAGAAGGCAACCAAUCAGAAACAGCCAGGGGGAUAAAAUUUGCUUUAAAAUGUGUCUGUCGAAGCACUUUUGCCGCAGUGCUUCGACAAAACGCAAACAACAUCUCAUUCGCUAUAUCUGCAAGUCUAUUCAAACUAAGAAGAGUAAAAUGACCUCGUACCAACCUCCUGAGCCGCCUCCCGUCUUUGAAACCGUUUCCCUCGGGAAAAUAGGUCUGCAUUUGGUUGCCAAUGUGGUAUUAACGUACGACACGAAAAGUAGAAAUUACGACGUCAUCUAUGGCACUCUUAAAAACAAGGAAAGCGAAGGUGGAUCUACUAAAUUGACGAUUCUCUCCGACUCCAAUCACCAAUACACUGUCAUCCGAAAGCGAGGAGGAGUAUACGAAACUAACCAUAGGAAUUGGAUAGAGGUCGAGAAGACAUAAAUAUGAUGAGAAAUCUUUCGGAAGUCACAAGAAAGCUUUAAAGACUAUGGAACAUUUACCUAAAAAUAUUUCAAUAAUCGUGGAAAGCAAUAAAUAAAGUUUUGAGGUGAAGUAUUA